UAGAUACCCUGGUAGUCCUGGCAGUAAACGGUGCGCGUUUGGUGUGGGGUGGUUCGACCCUCCCUGCGCCGAAGCUAACGCGUUAAACGCGCCGCCUGGGAAGUACGAUCGCAAGAUUAGAACUCAAAGAAAUUGACGGGGGCCCGCACAAGCGGUGGAGUAUGUGGCUUAAUUCGAUGCAACGCGAAGAACCUUACCUAGGCUUGACAUGCAUCUCUAAGUCGGUGAAAGCCGGCGAGCGUAGCAAUAC
Molecule: ribosomal RNA, 250 nt
Filed under: uncultured bacterium
Lineage: Bacteria
Description: partial 16S ribosomal RNA
Rfam family: Bacterial small subunit ribosomal RNA
Source: RNAcentral